GGAUGUACGCUGGCGGCGUGCCUAAAACAUGCAAGUCGAGCGGUAAGGCUCUGCACUUAGUGUUUGAUCGGGAUAAUUUUUUAAGAUUAUUGUAGCAGACCAAUUUGACCCUUGGCGGGGAAGAUGCGGAAUGGGAAGAUCGAAUCAUAAGUGUAGAGUACACGAGCGGCGGACGGGUGAGUAACACGUGGGAAUCUACCCCAAACUGAGGGAUAAGCACCGGAAACGGUGUCUAAUACCGCAUAUGGUCUUCGGAUUAAAGCUUCGGCGGUUUGGGAAGAGCCCGCGCAAGAUUAGCUAGUUGGUGAGGUAAAGGCUCACCAAGGCUACGAUCUUUAGCUGGUUUGAGAGGAUGAUCAGCCACACUGGAACUGAGACACGGUCCAGACUCCUACGGGAGGCAGCAGUUAGGAAUUUUCCACAAUGGGCGCAAGCCUGAUGGAGCAACGCCGCGUGCAGGAUGAAGGUUUUCGGAUCGUAAACUGCUUUUAUGUGCGAAGAAUAUGACGGUAACACAUGAAUAAGGAUCGGCUAACUCCGUGCCAGCAGCCGCGGUCAUACGGAGGAUCCAAGCGUUAUCCGGAUUUACUGGGCGUAAAGAGUUGCGUAGGUGGUUUGUUAAGUGAAUAGUGAAAUCUUGUGGCUCAACCAUAAGGCUAUUAUUCAAACUGGCAAACUCGAGAAUGAGAGAGGUCACUGGAAUUCCUUGUGUAGGAGUGAAAUCCGUAGAUAUAAGGAGGAACACCAAUGGCGUAGGCAGGUGACUGGCUCAUUUCUGACACUGAGGCACGAAAGCGUGGGGAGCGAACGGGAUUAGAUACCCCGGUAGUCCACGCCGUAAACGAUGGAUGCUAGCUGUUAGGAGUAUCGACCCUUCUAGUAGCGAAGCUAACGCGUUAAGCAUCCCGCCUGGGGAGUACGGUCGCAAGAUUAAAACUCAAAGGAAUUGACGGGGACCCGCACAAGUGGUGGAGCGUGUUCUUUAAUUCGAUGAUAAGCGAAGAACCUUACCAGGGUUUGACAUCCUUGGAAUCUCUGUGAAAGCAGAGAGUACUUUAUUGGACCAAGUGACAGGUGUUGCAUGGCCGUCGUCAGCUCGUGUCGUGAGAUGUUAGGUUAAGUCCUUCAACGAGCGCAACCCUUAUGUUUAGUUGGAUUUUUCUAAACAGACUGCCCCGGUAACGGGGAGGAAGGAGGGGAUGAUGUCAGGUCAUUAUUACCCUUACACCCUGGGCUAGAAACGCGCUACAAUGGCCGGUACAAAGGGCAGCCAACCCGCGAGGGGGAGCAAAUCCCAUCAAAACCGGUCCCAGUUCGGAUUGCAGGCUGAAACUCGCCUGCAUGAAGCCGGAAUCACUAGUAAUCGUAGGUCAGCACACUACGGUGAAUACGUUCCCGGGUCU
This 1403-nucleotide ribosomal RNA is filed under the name uncultured bacterium. RNAcentral's name for it is "bacterial SSU rRNA". It matches the Rfam family "Bacterial small subunit ribosomal RNA", at positions 27 to 1381 of the family's 1533-position model. The record is from RNAcentral.